AGUCAUGUGGCCGAGUGGCGAGGCACAGGUUUCAUAAACCUAGAAUGGCGGUUCGAUUCCGCUCAUGACGUCUA
Molecule: transfer RNA, 74 nt
Filed under: Pedobacter steynii
Lineage: Bacteria; Pseudomonadati; Bacteroidota; Sphingobacteriia; Sphingobacteriales; Sphingobacteriaceae
Description: tRNA-Met
Rfam family: tRNA
About the family: Transfer RNA (tRNA) molecules are approximately 80 nucleotides in length. Their secondary structure includes four short double-helical elements and three loops (D, anti-codon, and T loops).
Source: RNAcentral